AUACGUAGGGGGCGAGCGUUGUCCGGAAUGAUUGGGCGUAAAGGGCGCGUAGGCGGCCCGGUAAGUCUGGAGUGAAAGUCCUGUUUUUAAGAUGGGAAUUGCUUUGGAUACUGUCGGGCUUGAGUGCAGGAGAGGUAAGUGGAAUUCCCAGUGCAGCGGUGAAAUGCGUAGAGAUUGGGAGGAACACCAGUGGCGAAGGCGACUUACUGGACAGUAACUGACGCUGAUGCGCGAAAGUGUGGGGAGCAAACAGGAUUAGAUACCCUGGUAGUCCACACUGUAAACGAUGAAUGCUAGGUGUAGGGGGUAUCGACCCCUUCUGUGCCGCAGUCAACACAAUAAGCAUUCCGCCUGGGGAGUACGGCCGCAAGGUUGAAACUCAAAGGAAUUGACGGGG
RNAcentral lists this ribosomal RNA (397 nucleotides) under uncultured bacterium. RNAcentral describes it as "partial 16S ribosomal RNA". It matches the Rfam family "Bacterial small subunit ribosomal RNA", at positions 523 to 918 of the family's 1533-position model. The record is from RNAcentral.